GAAAAAGAAAAUUUUUAAAUUGUACCUUUUGUAUCAGGGGAGUUUAAAAGUAAUGUUAGUAAAAGAUCGAGUUGAUCGGAUCUUUUAUAUUGACUGAAUAGUGGCAUUUAAUUAGUAAAGUAUUUAGGAGGUGAAAAGUAUACGACGAUCAUGAUAUCUAGUUGUUUUGUAAAAUUGAUGGGUAAAGCCAUCAAUUUUUUAUAUUAAUAAAAUUAUGGAGAAAAGCUAGGCUUUAAAUUAGCCAUGUUAAUAUAUUGUUUUAAAUAAUCUUUCUUACGCAGUUAUUAAGAUAAAAUUAUAAAGGCUGUAUAUAUUAAUAUAAGUUUGUAUUAAUAAUGAAUUUAUUGAAUAAAUUAAGGAAUUAAAAAAUAACUCAUUACAGGUCAGAAAGUUUAACAAAAACAUUUCUAUUUGCUGCAGGAAAAGUAAAGCCUGCCCGGUGAUAUUUAACGGCCGCAGUAUUUUGACUGUGCUAAGGUAGCAUAAUCAUUUGCUUUUUAAUUGGUAGCUGGAAUGAAAGGUUAAACUAAUUUGUUUAGUUUGUAUUAGUUUAAUAGUAAAUUUAAGUCAAGAUAAUAAUUUCUUGAUAGGCUAGGGGACGAUAAGACCCUAUAAGCUUUACAAAAUGGUUUUUUAUUGGUGAUAAAGUUAAGUUUGUUUUACUGGGGCGGUAUUAGUGUAUAAACCACUAUUUUUUUGGUUGAUCCUUUAUAUAAAGACAUAACGUAAAAGUUACUUUAGGGAUAACAGUGCAAUAUAUUUGGAGAGGUCUUAUCGAUAAAUAUGAUUGCAACCUCGAUGUUGAAUUAAGAAUUCUAAGUGGGGCAGCAUAUACUAGAGAGGGUUUGUUCAACC
This 855-nucleotide ribosomal RNA is filed under the name Gammarus electrus. RNAcentral describes it as "partial 16S ribosomal RNA". The stretch from base 591 to 855 matches the Rfam family "Bacterial large subunit ribosomal RNA", at positions 2072 to 2586 of the family's 2925-position model. The record is from RNAcentral. Lineage: Eukaryota; Metazoa; Arthropoda; Malacostraca; Amphipoda; Gammaridae.